AGGACUAGGGAACAGAGGAAGGAGCCCUGCCUGGAGAUCCACGAGCGCUAGUCGUGGCCUUGGCAGCGUUGGUUCAUGCAUCCUGCACACGCCAGCGGGCACUGAGUGCGCAGAGGUGAAACAGGUUGGCCUUUGCUCUCGUGGAGCUAGGGCUCUACUACCCUUGAGGACUGCAAACAAUUAGAGGGCACGUGAGAAGACAUGUGGUGUGGAAUUCUGGUAAGAAGAGUCUUGAUGGGAUUGAUAGAGACAACUCCUUAAUGAUGUUUGACCCACCUUUGAGACAAAUGGAAAGACUGGAGAUAAAUGCUGCCUGAGAGAAGAGCAUGACCAUACACAGGGCAACUCUGCAGCUGAUGGACUCACAGGGGGCUGGAGGCUGUCUGCAGACCAUUCUCCCCCUCGACUGAGGGGCAGGUUUUCCUUGAAGAGGGAUCUUGGUGACACAUCUCCACGUUCAUCAAAAUGAUCAGAAGGCUGAAUCAACAGCUCACUUGGAAUGUGAUUUAAACAUGUGUGCAGUGUACAGAUAGGACCAUCAGCCAGGAGACUCCAUGCUCUUGAACCAAGGGAUGUUUCUGUUGUCCUGCAGGGGCUAAAACACAAACUACAAGCUUUGCUGAGCCCACCUUUUUCUCUCUCCAUAAGUAUGAAGAUGAGUAUCAGAAACACCAAAAAGGAGACUGUGACGCUGAUGGAAAAGCUGCUACCUGAUAUUGCUGAGUGUUGUCCUUCUGAGAAAGAAGACACAUUCACAAAAACAGCACAAAAUGUAAACUUGGAGUCCGGUUUGGGGCUAUGAGCGAUUAUUUUCAUUUCAAUGGUGUCUUGUUCACGGACUUGACUUCUUAUCAGGGGAAGUGCUCUAGUCAAAUAAAUAUUUCCAUUAGUUUUAUUUACUAAAAAGAAAGGAGAUGGAGUUUCCAAAGAGUAAAGAAUAACUCCAUCAAUACCAGCAUCUGCAUCUGAUGCUUCCACUUUGCCAACCAACUGUCUUAUUUUAUUCUUUUCUGGAAGGUUGAAAAAAUAUUGAUCUUGAGUAAAAAUGGGUUCAAACUCAUCUAUCCCUUCAAUAUCCACCCAAACCAUUAAAGAGGCUGCUGAGUCCCCUUUGUCUUUUGCCUGAACUGUGAGGCAGUAUUUAUUGUCAUUUUCAUAGUCAAGGACUUGCUUAGUGUGAAUAUCCCCUGUUAAAGGGUCAAUGAGGAAGGGAUGAUGAUCACGAGGCAUCCCGUGAGUGGUGGAACAGGGCGAUAAAAUAGAAUAGGUCAAUUCUCCAUAAGGACCUGCAU
Herpailurus yagouaroundi (jaguarundi) is the source of this 1292-nucleotide long non-coding RNA. RefSeq lists it as uncharacterized. The transcript is spliced from 5 exons. NCBI's taxonomy places the organism in Eukaryota, Metazoa, Chordata, Mammalia, Carnivora, Felidae. The record is from RefSeq and is a predicted model, not a curated record.